Drosophila montana is the source of this 716-nucleotide long non-coding RNA. RefSeq lists it as uncharacterized. The record is from RefSeq and is a predicted model, not a curated record. NCBI's taxonomy places the organism in Eukaryota, Metazoa, Arthropoda, Insecta, Diptera, Drosophilidae. The transcript has 2 exons.
AAAUAACAUGUCUGGAACAUAUGUUAAUGGAAAUGUGUCAGUACUUUUAACAGCACAUGAAGAUAUUUUGCAGACAAGAAGGUCAUUAUUUUUGGGAAAUCAUACAUUUUCGAUUCCAAUUAACUUAUUAAAUCAUCCAAAAACCCUUGAUAUUAAAAGCGAAAAAGGUAAAAUAAUUUUUAAUUUAAAAAUAAAAAAAAAUGCUAAGAACGGAACAGGAAAGAUGUCGAAAGCAAGGUUGAUUCCAACCUCAAAUAAUAUGUUAGCAAGAUGUCCAACCAAUAACAAAACAUUGUGCUUAAAUAUAUUGGACAACAAAGUACCAGGGUUCAGCAUUAAAAUUAAAAUGCCAUUUAGAGAAAACGCAGCACAGCAAAAAGCUUUAAAAGUUAAGGUGUCUAGAAUUGUAACUGAUGCCACGACUAAGGAUGCACUUCAAAUUUCCGUCGAUGUCAUAAAUAAAGGGCUGGAAUCGCAAGAAUAUUUAAUAAGCAUUUCUAACUGCCUACUGUCAGAAAGAGAAUCGGCUAUAUCAACUGUAAAAAAAAUGCUUCUUCCUUAUAUAUCUGAAACAAUAACUUUUUUAUUGCCAUUUAUAAUGGGAUCAAAGAAAAAUUUCAAAUUUAAUUGCGAAUGUAAGUACAAUACACGGUAUUAAAAGUGCGUUUAAUCUGUAUUUGGUCUUAAGAGGAAUAUAUCGCAAUUUUUAUAAUAAA